Molecule: long non-coding RNA, 458 nt
Organism: Bubalus bubalis (water buffalo)
Lineage: Eukaryota; Metazoa; Chordata; Mammalia; Artiodactyla; Bovidae
Exons: 3
Source: RefSeq, a predicted model, not a curated record
CCUGCGUCCUCACCAUUACAUCCUAAGCAGAAAGGUCUGAAAAACUAGUGCCAAAAGCAGGCCUAAGGCCAAGGGGCUAUCCACCAAGUGCUCCCUGUCUUCCUACUUCAGAGGGAAAAGUGAAGAGGGAAAGGAGAGAAGGGGAAAAGAAAAAUCACUUGUCUGUCCUGUAUUUGGAAGAAUGAAAGCGCUGGGGUGAUGAAGAGAACGAAGAAAAGGGAGAGGUGGUGGCCUCCACGUCCCUGAAGCUAUUCAAGCAAAGACCAGAUGACUACCUUUGAAGGCUGCUGUGGAGAGGACGCCUCCCCAGGCCUCUCCCCCUUUCAUCUCACCGGCAGUACAACUUAACAAGGAGAAAAUGGAGGAGAGACACUGAGGAGCCUCCAGAUGCCCGGCCCAUCACUUUGCGCCGCCAGAUGAUUCAGAGGAGACUCACUCAGAGCCUCCGGGGGGUGAUG